This 75-nucleotide transfer RNA is filed under the name bacterium. RNAcentral's name for it is "tRNA-His". It matches the Rfam family "tRNA". From Rfam's summary of the family: Transfer RNA (tRNA) molecules are approximately 80 nucleotides in length. The record is from RNAcentral.
GAGCUCGUAGUGUAAUGGUUAACACUGCAGUUUGUGGUACUGUAAAUUCGGGUUCAACUCCCGACGAGCUCCCCA